GACGAACGCUGGCGGCGUGCUUAACACAUGCAAGUCGAACGCUGAAGCUUGGUGCUUGCACUGGGUGGAUGAGUGGCGAACGGGUGAGUAAUAAGUGAGUAACCUGCCCUUGACUCUGGGAUAAGCCUGGGAAACUGGGUCUAAUACUGGAUACGACAUGUCACCGCAUGGUGGUGUGUGGAAAGGGUUUUACUGGUUUUGGAUGGGCUCACGGCCUAUCAGCUUGUUGGUGGGGUAAUGGCUCACCAAGGCGACGACGGGUAGCCGGCCUGAGAGGGUGACCGGCCACACUGGGACUGAGACACGGCCCAGACUCCUACGGGAGGCAGCAGUGGGGAAUAUUGCACAAUGGGCGGAAGCCUGAUGCAGCGACGCCGCGUGAGGGAUGACGGCCUUCGGGUUGUAAACCUCUUUCAGCACGGAAGAAGCGAAAGUGACGGUACGUGCAGGAGAAGCGCCGGCUAACUACGUG
RNAcentral lists this ribosomal RNA (472 nucleotides) under uncultured bacterium. RNAcentral's name for it is "partial 16S ribosomal RNA". It matches the Rfam family "Bacterial small subunit ribosomal RNA", at positions 28 to 507 of the family's 1533-position model. The record is from RNAcentral.